UACGUAGGUGUCGAGCGUUGUCCGGAUUUAUUGGGCGUAAAGCGCCCGCAGGCGGCUUGGCAAGUUCGAGGUGAAAUCUCCCGGCUCAACUGGGAGGGGGCCAUCCAGACGGCGUGGCUUGAGGCUCGGAGGGGGGCGUGGAAUUCCGGGUGGAGCGGUGAAAUGCGUAGAGAUCCGGAGGAACACCGACGGCGAAGGCAGCGCCCUGGACGAGACCUGACGCUCAGGCACGAAAGCUGGGGGAGCAAACAGG
This 253-nucleotide ribosomal RNA is filed under the name uncultured bacterium. RNAcentral describes it as "partial 16S ribosomal RNA". It matches the Rfam family "Bacterial small subunit ribosomal RNA", at positions 524 to 776 of the family's 1533-position model. The record is from RNAcentral.